GGGCGCGUGGCUCAGUCGUGUAGAGCGUUCGUCUAGGUUGACUCCAGGUUCGGGGUUCAAAUCUUCGCACGUCCA
This is a non-coding RNA of Aspergillus ruber CBS 135680, 75 nucleotides long. Lineage: Eukaryota; Fungi; Ascomycota; Eurotiomycetes; Eurotiales; Aspergillaceae. The record is from the annotation of a RefSeq genome assembly.